AGUGAACGCUGGCGGUAGGCCUAACACAUGCAAGUCGAACGGCAGCACAGUAAGAGCUUGCUCUUACGGGUGGCGAGUGGCGGACGGGUGAGGAAUACAUCGGAAUCUACUUUUUCGUGGGGGAUAACGUAGGGAAACUUACGCUAAUACCGCAUACGACCUACGGGUGAAAGCAGGGGAUCUUCGGACCUUGCGCGAUUGAAUGAGCCGAUGUCGGAUUAGCUAGUUGGCGGGGUAAAGGCCCACCAAGGCGACGAUCCGUAGCUGGUCUGAGAGGAUGAGCAGCCCCUAGGGAACGAGGAAACGUCCCAACAUCCGCAGGGAGGCACGGGGGGGAAUUUUUGGAAAAGGGGGGGUGGCCUAUCCCACCCAAGCGGGGGGGGGGAAAAGGGCCUUGGGUUUGUAAAGCCUUUUUGUUGGAAAAGAAAAAAAGCAGUUUAACCCCCCGCUUUUUGACGGUACCCCAAAAAAAAACCCCCGCUAACUUUCUG
Molecule: ribosomal RNA, 491 nt
Filed under: uncultured bacterium
Lineage: Bacteria
Description: partial 16S ribosomal RNA
Rfam family: Bacterial small subunit ribosomal RNA
Source: RNAcentral